AGGUGCGAUCAUACCAGCACUAAUGCACCGGAUCCCAUCAGAACUCCGCAGUUAAGCGUGCUUGCGCGAGAGUAGUACUAGGAUGGGUGACCUCCUGGGAAGUCCUCGUGUUGCACCUC
This 119-nucleotide ribosomal RNA is filed under the name Vigna angularis (adzuki bean). Lineage: Eukaryota; Viridiplantae; Streptophyta; Magnoliopsida; Fabales; Fabaceae. The record is from RNAcentral.